This 330-nucleotide small RNA is filed under the name Arabidopsis thaliana (thale cress). RNAcentral describes it as "ATSL100430". The record is from RNAcentral. Lineage: Eukaryota; Viridiplantae; Streptophyta; Magnoliopsida; Brassicales; Brassicaceae.
AAAGUGGUAAAGAAUGAUUUACAAGGUAUUUUAAAAAGGAUUUACAUGACUUGCAAUCGUUUUUAACGGAUUAGAAAAUGGUAAGGAUUGAUUUACAAGAGAUUUUAAAAGCUAUUAAAAAGGGUUUAAUUGAUUAACAAUCGUUUUAGAAGCAGAACUUAGUGGCAUAGAAUGAUUUACAAGGGAUUUUAAAAGCUUUUAAAAGUGUUUAACUUGAUUUACAAUCGUUAAAAAGCAUAAGUAUGUGGCGUAGAAUGAUUUACAAGGUAUUUUAAAAAGGGUUUGCAUUUUUUACAAUCGUUUUUAAAGGGGUUUUCUAAUAUGAUAAUU